RNAcentral lists this ribosomal RNA (1223 nucleotides) under Chryseobacterium sp. LDA39 G1966 13a. RNAcentral's name for it is "bacterial SSU rRNA". It matches the Rfam family "Bacterial small subunit ribosomal RNA", at positions 205 to 1436 of the family's 1533-position model. Lineage: Bacteria; Pseudomonadati; Bacteroidota; Flavobacteriia; Flavobacteriales; Weeksellaceae. The record is from RNAcentral.
AACUCCGGUGGAUAGAGAUGGGCACGCGCAAGAUUAAAUAGUUGGUGAGGUAACGGCUCACCAAGUCUACGAUCUUUAGGGGGCCUGAGAGGGUGAUCCCCCACACUGGUACUGAGACACGGACCAGACUCCUACGGGAGGCAGCAGUGAGGAAUAUUGGACAAUGGGUGAGAGCCUGAUCCAGCCAUCCCGCGUGAAGGACGACUGCCCUAUGGGUUGUAAACUUCUUUUGUAUAGGGAUAAACCUACCCUCGUGAGGGUAGCUGAAGGUACUAUACGAAUAAGCACCGGCUAACUCCGUGCCAGCAGCCGCGGUAAUACGGAGGGUGCAAGCGUUAUCCGGAUUUAUUGGGUUUAAAGGGUCCGUAGGCGGAUUUGUAAGUCAGUGGUGAAAUCUCACAGCUUAACUGUGAAACUGCCAUUGAUACUGCAAGUCUUGAGUGUUGUUGAAGUAGCUGGAAUAAGUAGUGUAGCGGUGAAAUGCAUAGAUAUUACUUAGAACACCAAUUGCGAAGGCAGGUUACUAAGCAACAACUGACGCUGAUGGACGAAAGCGUGGGGAGCGAACAGGAUUAGAUACCCUGGUAGUCCACGCCGUAAACGAUGCUAACUCGUUUUUGGGUUUUCGGAUUCAGAGACUAAGCGAAAGUGAUAAGUUAGCCACCUGGGGAGUACGUUCGCAAGAAUGAAACUCAAAGGAAUUGACGGGGGCCCGCACAAGCGGUGGAUUAUGUGGUUUAAUUCGAUGAUACGCGAGGAACCUUACCAAGGCUUAAAUGGGAAAUGACAGGUUUAGAAAUAGACUUUUCUUCGGACAUUUUUCAAGGUGCUGCAUGGUUGUCGUCAGCUCGUGCCGUGAGGUGUUAGGUUAAGUCCUGCAACGAGCGCAACCCCUGUCACUAGUUGCCAUCAUUAAGUUGGGGACUCUAGUGAGACUGCCUACGCAAGUAGAGAGGAAGGUGGGGAUGACGUCAAAUCAUCACGGCCCUUACGCCUUGGGCCACACACGUAAUACAAUGGCCGGUACAGAGGGCAGCUACACUGCGAAGUGAUGCAAAUCUCGAAAGCCGGUCUCAGUUCGGAUUGGAGUCUGCAACUCGACUCUAUGAAGCUGGAAUCGCUAGUAAUCGCGCAUCAGCCAUGGCGCGGUGAAUACGUUCCCGGGCCUUGUACACACCGCCCGUCAAGCCAUGGAAGUCUGGGGUACCUGAAGUCGGUGACCG